Molecule: transfer RNA, 72 nt
Filed under: Canis lupus familiaris (dog)
Lineage: Eukaryota; Metazoa; Chordata; Mammalia; Carnivora; Canidae
Also listed under: 1 other name
Rfam family: tRNA
About the family: Transfer RNA (tRNA) molecules are approximately 80 nucleotides in length. Their secondary structure includes four short double-helical elements and three loops (D, anti-codon, and T loops). Further hydrogen bonds mediate the characteristic L-shaped molecular structure. tRNAs have two regions of fundamental functional importance: the anti-codon, which is responsible for specific mRNA codon recognition, and the 3' end, to which the tRNAs corresponding amino acid is attached (by aminoacyl-tRNA synthetases). tRNAs cope with the degeneracy of the genetic code in two manners: having more than one tRNA (with a specific anti-codon) for a particular amino acid; and 'wobble' base-pairing, i.e. permitting non-standard base-pairing at the 3rd anti-codon position.
Source: Rfam by way of RNAcentral
GCCAGUCUGGCUCAGUUGGUAGAGCAUGUGACUUUUGAUCUUGGGGUUUUAGGUUCGAGCCCCACAUUGGCU